GAGACACAAGAAUUGCUUGAACCUGGGAGGCGGAGGCUGCAGUGAGCUGAGAUCAUGCUGCCGCACUCCAGCCUGGGGAACAGAGAUUCUGUCUCAAAAAAAAAAGAAAAAGAGAAAAGAAAUACAGUUGACCCUUGAACAACACGGGUUUGAAAUGCACAAGUCUACUUAUACAUGGGAUUUUUUCAACCAAAGGUGGAUUGAAAAUACAGUAUUCAAGGGAUGCAAAAUCUGCAUAUGUGGAGAGUCAACUUUUUGUAUGUGCAGGUUCCGCAGGGCUGAGUGCAGGACUUAUGUGUGGAUUUUGGCAUAUGGAAGGGGCCCUGGAGCCAAUCCCACAUGUAUACCAAGGGACGACUGUACAAAGUAAGAUUUGCAAGCAAGAAAGGGAACUGUCAGGAGCUGAACAUAAAGGAGGAACUGAAAACCUGAGUGGUCAGCGUGUGAACUGGCUAUGUCUUCUAGGGACCAGGAGAAGAACCAUGAUCACCGUAGGGCUUUGUG
RNAcentral lists this long non-coding RNA (504 nucleotides) under Pan troglodytes (chimpanzee). Its description in RNAcentral is "long non-coding RNA NONPTRT011912". The record is from RNAcentral. Lineage: Eukaryota; Metazoa; Chordata; Mammalia; Primates; Hominidae.